RNAcentral lists this long non-coding RNA (1170 nucleotides) under Chloebia gouldiae (Gouldian finch). RNAcentral describes it as "Erythrura gouldiae (Gouldian finch) lncRNA (ENSEGOG00005018054.1)". Lineage: Eukaryota; Metazoa; Chordata; Aves; Passeriformes; Passeridae. The record is from RNAcentral.
GCCGCCCCCGGCCGCAGCGCCGCCCCCGGCCCGCCCGCCCGGGGCUCUCGGGGCUCUCGGGGAGCGGGGCCGGUGCGGAGCGCGAUGGUCCCGGCGGGGCCGCCCCGCUCCUGCCUCCUGCUGACGGCCGCGCUGCUGCCGCUGCUGCCGGUACCGGCACCGGGGGCAACCCCGGGGCCCCCCGCGCUCACCGACGCCGAGAUCGAGGAGUUUCUGCGGGGCUUCCUUGGACCCGGGGACGGCGGGGACCGGGACGGGGACCGGGACGGGGACGGUACCGAGCUGGGCUUCGGCACCGACCUCGGCACCGGCGCCGGCACGGGUGAGUGAUCGGCGCCAGGAUCCCCGGGAGCGGGGCUGGCGGGAUGCGGCUUUCCCCAGCUCGGCCCCGCCACGCUCACCCUGCCCGGGGUGCUGCUCCCCCUCCUGUCCCCUCAGGCUCUCCGGGGUCGCUGCCGGAGCCUGAGAAACCCAGGAAGGGGAAGAAGGAAAAACCCCCCAAGAAGCCCAAGGAGAGACCCCGGGGCCCCAAGAAGGAUAAGGACAAGGUCAAGGACAAGGACCGGGGCAAGAACAAACCCCCCAAGAAAUCCAAGGAGAAGCCACCAAAAGGCUCAGAAAACCCGUCAAAAGGCUCAGAAAAAAUCCCAAAAGGCUCUGAAAAAACCCCAAAAGGCUCCAAAAAGACCAAGGAGAAGCCACCCAAGGAGAAGCCACCCAAGGCCGCCAAACCCUCUGGCAAGAAGCCACCAGUGCCACCAAGCCCCCCCACUGUCCACCAGCCCUCACAGGGCAAGGAGGAUGAAGAGAUCCCAGAGUUCCUGGAGCCUUCUCACAAGGAGGAGGAGGAUGGAGUUGUCCGAGGAGAGCUGGAAGAGCCACCAAAUGAGCCGGGCCGGGAGGACUGGAACCCUGAGCCCCAGCCAGAGGUCCCCGAGGAGCCAGAGCCCCCGACCCUGGACUACAACGAGCAGCUGGAGCGGGAGGACUACGAGGACUUCGAGUUCGUCCGGCGGCAGCAGAAGCCCCCCAAGCCCCCGGCCAGGAGGAGACCGGAGCGGGUCUGGCCCCAGCCCGAGGAGACGCGUACGUGGGAGGGGGACACGGGGGGCUGGCACCGCUCAGGGUGAGGUUGGGGGCAGCCCCAGCCUCGGGAACCCAGGGAAGCAG